Non-coding RNA from Schistosoma haematobium, 76 nucleotides. NCBI's taxonomy places the organism in Eukaryota, Metazoa, Platyhelminthes, Trematoda, Strigeidida, Schistosomatidae. The record is from Rfam.
AGCCUUCUGAAUCCGCAUAGAGAUUUCAUCAGACACCAGACCAUCUAGACUGAUGAGACUCAAGAUAAAUGGAGCG